GUAGGGGCCUAGCGUUGUCCGGAUUUAUUGGGCGUAAAGAGCUCGUAGGCGGUUUGGUGAGUCGGGUGUGAAAUCUCCACGCUCAACGUGGAGGGGCCACCCGAUACUGCCAUGACUAGAGUCCGGUAGGGGAGUGUGGAAUUCCCGGUGUAGCGGUGAAAUGCGCAGAUAUCGGGAGGAACACCAGUAGCGAAGGCGACACUCUGGGCCGGUACUGACGCUGAGGAGCGAAAGCGUGGGGAGCAAACAGGAUUAGAUACCCUGGUAGUCCACGCUGUAAACGUUGGGCACUAGGUGUGGGACUCUAUCGACGGGUUCCGUGCCGUAGCUAACGCAUUAAGUGCCCCGCCUGGGGAGUACGGCCGCAAGGCUA
This 373-nucleotide ribosomal RNA is filed under the name uncultured bacterium. RNAcentral describes it as "bacterial SSU rRNA". It matches the Rfam family "Bacterial small subunit ribosomal RNA", at positions 527 to 896 of the family's 1533-position model. The record is from RNAcentral.